UUUCCGUAGGUGAACCUGCGGAAGGAUCAUUCAUAAUAAGUGUUUUAUGGCACUUUUUUAAAUCCAUAUCCACCUUGUGUUCAAUGUCAGGGUUGAUUUUUCUCUCGAGUAGAUCAGCCCCAAACAUCAACUAUAUCUCAACUCUUUGUCUGAAAAAUAUUAUGAAUAAAACAAUUCAAAAUACAACUUUCAACAACGGAUCUCUUGGCUCUC
This 213-nucleotide unclassified non-coding RNA is filed under the name plant metagenome. RNAcentral's name for it is "partial contains small subunit ribosomal RNA, internal transcribed spacer 1, and 5.8S ribosomal RNA". The record is from RNAcentral.